CUCGGCGAUGCCCUUCAUGAUCCAGUCGCUCUCGGAGGUGGGCGCCAAGCUGAUCCGGCUCGAGGAGGAGCGGGCCACCAGGAGGGAAAAGGAGGAGCGGAAGGGCC
Molecule: non-coding RNA, 107 nt
Filed under: uncultured eukaryote
Lineage: Eukaryota
Source: RNAcentral